CCGACCCGCUUUGUAUAUCCCAGCCCAUCAAGUCUCCAAUAGGGUUUGCAAAUAAAUUUCGCCCAACUCCAGCCAUCGCGGCCAUUGUGCAAAUAUCUGACUGCCAUCAUAUCGCUAGGAGAGAACGGUGGAGACUAGGGUUUGUCACUGAAUCACCAUGAGAGCUAAGUGGAAGAAGAAGCGCAUGAGGAGGUUGAAGAGAAAGCGACGAAAGAUGAGGCAGCGAUCUAAGUAACCUACUGGCUUUUCCAAUAGCGUGGCUGGCUCUCUCCGCGUCGUCAUGUUUCUUUUCCUUUCGAGUUUUUAUGUUGUUAGGUUUUUGGCUUGUCAAGGACGUUUGGCUAUGGUUUUAUUUUCAAUCGAAUGAAUUUGUAGCCAGAUUUUGCGAUUAUUGCCCUCAAUGAAUUUUAAGCGAUAUUGAUACAAUUUGUUUCUGUUUAAAUCAUCUGGGUAUCGUUUUGGGUUCUCACUUGUAUAAUCAUUCUUAUGCCUUCACUUUUUGAUGCGUUUGCCUUGAAUGCGAAAUUGCUCUGAGAUUUUAUCUUCUUGCACGCAAACGAAUUGUUCUGGAAAGUGGCAAAAUCUCCGAUGCCAAGGAUUAUGGCUUGUUUGUGAGUAUGAUGUGGUGUUGGUGUUUGGAUUUUUUUUCCAUUUUGAGUAAUAAUUUUCGGGGAUGCUAAUGUCUCAUUGAGUGACCAGUGCUCUUGAUUAGGUCUCUCUCUCUCUUAUCUCUCUCGGGUCAUGCGAGUGUUUCUUAUGUAGAGGUGGAUCAUCUAGGUUCUAAACUCAAAAGCGUGAGAUUGAUUAGUGUGCUUACAAUUAAGCAUGGAAAUGUAAAAGGGCCUUCUUCCACAGAGACUUAAAAAAUUUGGAUGUUUUGUAGAAAUUUGCAUAUGUCAUCACCUUAAUUACUUGGUUUAAAAUAAACAACUGCAGAAAGAGCAUCCCUGUUAAAGUCUUGAUUCUUUCUGAUUUAAAUUGAUUUUAGCUUUAUGUUUGUUUCAUUUGUAGGCGAUAUAACCUGCUUAGCAAAUUAGAUCUAAAAUAAGUUCAUACUAAUAACAAUGCGACAUUUAUUCGGUUUCAUGUUUUUAAGCAUUGAAGUGCACUCAAGCAAACACUAUGUUGUAUGAAUAUGGGUGGAUAAUGCAAGCAUAACUUGAUAAGGCCGCAUGGUGGCAUAACUUGUCAGGCACACACCAAUCAUCUGUAAUGGGCUAGGUGUUUUGGAAAUUUAAUAUGGUUGGAGGAUGGGAAAAAAGUAGAACAAAGUUUGGUAUGGGAAUACAGUGAAGUCAUCGUGCAUUGUUUCACAUCCAUCUCAUUCCUAUUUCAGUCUGACUCUUUGGUGACCCUUAGAUUCUAAUGUUCCUCUGCUAGUUUUUUGCUAAGGCACAUGGUUUUGUUGAAGUUACUUUGGUACGAUCAGUUCGCACUUCACCUAUUGAUUUUGCUUACUAAAUGUAUGAAGUCGUGCUUUAUGGAUGGAACUCGCAAAUUUAUAUGGUGGUAGGGCGCGCACACUUCAUUUUGUACAAAUAAUUGUUUUUGGGUCUACAACACUUACAGGUUCGCUGGAACCUUCACCUUAUAGGCACUAAGAAUAACCUCUCUGCUAAACUAGUCUACAAUUACCCUUUGUACUAGUAAUUUGCAAUAAGGUAGUCUUUCACCCUACAUACUGUUAGAUCCUUUGUUUUCUAGCAAAGUGCUAUUGUUUUUGUUGACAAGUUCCAACCUUCCGUAGUUCUUCAAAUGCAUGCUUGGUUUCUGCAUCAAAGCCACCUGCAAACUGAAAAAGCUUUUUGUUAUUAGAACAGGUCGAGGGAAGAUUUCUAUACAAAGGUCUUGUCUACCUGGUGUACUCGAAAAGCAAAUCGAACACCUUGUAGCAGAAGGUCUUCUUGUGAAGAUUCAUUGUUCUGCAGUUCUUUGGCUACCCUUCUCAUGUAUGCCUUUGUCAAUGUCAGUGAACUUAGCUUCAUCUGUAAGUAAGUGCCAACAAGUUCAUAGCAAUAUACUUGAGGUAGUGAGAGUCUUUAUUGACAGAUAAAAUGCAGAUUUUUUUUAUGAGCGAUUAGGAAGGUUGGAUUUAAAUUGGCAAUGGUCAAGGGAUUAUGCAAAACAUGUUAUUGAAUGAUGAGUGGACAUGGCAUACCCUAAACGUAACAGAUUGCUGUUUGAAAUUUGCUUGGUAAUGUAGCAGAUCUCACUAACUUAUUAUACAAUUGGUGGUAAGGUGGUAUUUUCAGCCAAGCCUACAUGCUUCACAAUAAAACUCAUCAAAGUACCACCUACCUGCCCAAUCAGACCACCGUCUAGCAUCCAUCCACAAGGGAUACAGAACUCCCGAUAUCUUUUGCUGAACUUCCUUUCAUGA
This is a long non-coding RNA of Diospyros lotus (date-plum), 2380 nucleotides long. RefSeq lists it as uncharacterized. The transcript is spliced from 3 exons. Lineage: Eukaryota; Viridiplantae; Streptophyta; Magnoliopsida; Ericales; Ebenaceae. The record is from RefSeq and is a predicted model, not a curated record.